GUCUACAGCCAUACCACCCUGAAUGUGUCCGAUCUCAUCUGAUCUCUGAAGCUAAGCAGGGUAGGGCCUGGAUAGUAGUUGGAUGGGAAAAAGGUGUUUUUCUUGCAUCUUGAUAACUUGAGAUCCUUCAAAUC
Molecule: ribosomal RNA, 134 nt
Filed under: Microcebus murinus (gray mouse lemur)
Lineage: Eukaryota; Metazoa; Chordata; Mammalia; Primates; Cheirogaleidae
Source: RNAcentral